This 465-nucleotide ribosomal RNA is filed under the name Vreelandella stevensii. RNAcentral describes it as "partial 16S ribosomal RNA". It matches the Rfam family "Bacterial small subunit ribosomal RNA", at positions 338 to 795 of the family's 1533-position model. The record is from RNAcentral. Lineage: Bacteria; Pseudomonadati; Pseudomonadota; Gammaproteobacteria; Oceanospirillales; Halomonadaceae.
CCUACGGGUGGCUGCAGUGGGGAAUAUUGGACAAUGGGCGAAAGCCUGAUCCAGCCAUGCCGCGUGUGUGAAGAAGGCCUUCGGGUUGUAAAGCACUUUCAGUGGGGAAGAAAGCCUUGGGGCUAAUACCCUCGAGGAAGGACAUCACCCACAGAAGAAGCACCGGCUAACUCCAUGCCAGCAGCCGCGGUAAUACGGAGGGUGCGAGCGUUAAUCGGAAUUACUGGGCGUAAAGCGCGCGUAGGCGGUCUGAUAAGCCGGUUGUGAAAGCCCCGGGCUCAACCUGGGAACGGCAUCCGGAACUGUCAGGCUAGAGUGCAGGAGAGGAAGGUAGAAUUCCCGGUGUAGCGGUGAAAUGCGUAGAGAUCGGGAGGAAUACCAGUGGCGAAGGCGGCCUUCUGGACUGACACUGACGCUGAGGUGCGAAAGCGUGGGUAGCAAACAGGAUUAGAUACCCCAGUAGUC